Molecule: ribosomal RNA, 403 nt
Filed under: uncultured bacterium
Lineage: Bacteria
Description: partial 16S ribosomal RNA
Rfam family: Bacterial small subunit ribosomal RNA
Source: RNAcentral
AUUGAACGCUGGCGGCAGGACUAACACAUGCAAGUCGAGCGAGCGGCGGACGGGUGAGUAAUGUAUGGGGACUGCCCGAUAGAGGGGGAUAACUACUAGAAACGUUGUCUAAUACCGCAUACUAUCGGAUAACCCAUAUUGGAUUAGCUAGUAGGUGGGGGAAAGGCUCACCUAGGCGACGCUCUCUAGCUGUUCUGAGAGGAUGCUCAGCCACACUGUGACUGAGACACUGCCCAGACUCCUACGGAGGCAGCAGUGGGGAAUAUUGCACAAUGGGCGCAAGCCUGAUGCAGCCAUGCCGCGUGUAUGAAGAAGGCCUUAGGGUUGUAAAGUACUUUCAGCGGGGAGGCGUUACCCGCAGAAGAAGCACCGGCUAACUCCGUGCCAGCAGCCGCGGUAAUAC